GGGAAAGCAAGAAAUAUACUGUAUAAAGGGUAAAAACAGAAUUACAGUGGGUAAUUACCACAUCACCACUUGAAAUACAGGAGCUAAAAGUAAAAACAAAAUCUAAGGAAGAAAUGGGCCACAAUCAUGGAUUGUACAUGGUGACUAUUUGGAGAGAUAGGAAUCAAAGAUGUUUUGAAGCAUUAACCAACCCAACCUGGAAGAUCAAGUUCAAUUGUUUGCUUUUGUUUGCUUCUUAGUGUAAAAUGGAAGACAUAGGCAAAGUGAGACCAUUUUAGAGGCUUUUGAAACUAUUCAUGUACAGUGAGACUAUAUUAGUCAGCCUAGUCUAAUCUUUUUUUGUUCUUUUUAUCACUUCUUUUGGAGUUGAUACUUUGUACUGUUUUGAUAACAAUGAAAAGCCUUUUACCUUCUCAAAA
Molecule: unclassified non-coding RNA, 419 nt
Filed under: Hevea brasiliensis (rubber tree)
Lineage: Eukaryota; Viridiplantae; Streptophyta; Magnoliopsida; Malpighiales; Euphorbiaceae
Source: RNAcentral